This 69-nucleotide transfer RNA is filed under the name Halogeometricum limi. Its description in RNAcentral is "tRNA_Thr_GGT". The stretch from base 6 to 62 matches the Rfam family "tRNA", at positions 8 to 63 of the family's 71-position model. From Rfam's summary of the family: Transfer RNA (tRNA) molecules are approximately 80 nucleotides in length. Their secondary structure includes four short double-helical elements and three loops (D, anti-codon, and T loops). The record is from RNAcentral. Lineage: Archaea; Methanobacteriati; Methanobacteriota; Halobacteria; Halobacteriales; Haloferacaceae.
CUGGGUAGCUUAGCGGUAAAGCGCGUCCUUGGUAAGGGCGAGAGCGACGGUUCAACGCCGUUUGCUUAA